RNAcentral lists this ribosomal RNA (1372 nucleotides) under uncultured bacterium. RNAcentral's name for it is "bacterial SSU rRNA". It matches the Rfam family "Bacterial small subunit ribosomal RNA", at positions 28 to 1381 of the family's 1533-position model. The record is from RNAcentral.
GAUGAACGCUGGCGGCGUGCCUAAUACAUGCAAGUCGAGCGAACGGACGAGAAGCUUGCUUCUCUGAUGUUAGCGGCGGACGGGUGAGUAACACGUGGAUAACCUACCUAUAAGACUGGGAUAACUUCGGGAAACCGUAGCUAAUACCGGAUAAUAUUUUGAACCGCAUGGUUCAAAAGUGAAAGACGGUCUUGCUGUCACUUAUAGAUGGAUCCGCGCUGCAUUAGCUAGUUGGUAAGGUAACGGCUUACCAAGGCAACGAUGCAUAGCCGACCUGAGAGGGUGAUCGGCCACACUGGAACUGAGACACGGUCCAGACUCCUACGGGAGGCAGCAGUAGGGAAUCUUCCGCAAUGGGCGAAAGCCUGACGGAGCAACGCCGCGUGAGUGAUGAAGGUCUUCGGAUCGUAAAACUCUGUUAUUAGGGAAGAACAUAUGUGUAAGUAACUGUGCACAUCUUGACGGUACCUAAUCAGAAAGCCACGGCUAACUACGUGCCAGCAGCCGCGGUAAUACGUAGGUGGCAAGCGUUAUCCGGAAUUAUUGGGCGUAAAGCGCGCGUAGGCGGUUUUUUAAGUCUGAUGUGAAAGCCCACGGCUCAACCGUGGAGGGUCAUUGGAAACUGGAAAACUUGAGUGCAGAAGAGGAAAGUGGAAUUCCAUGUGUAGCGGUGAAAUGCGCAGAGAUAUGGAGGAACACCAGUGGCGAAGGCGACUUUCUGGUCUGUAACUGACGCUGAUGUGCGAAAGCGUGGGGAUCAAACAGGAUUAGAUACCCUGGUAGUCCACGCCGUAAACGAUGAGUGCUAAGUGUUAGGGGGUUUCCGCCCCUUAGUGCUGCAGCUAACGCAUUAAGCACUCCGCCUGGGGAGUACGACCGCAAGGUUGAAACUCAAAGGAAUUGACGGGGACCCGCACAAGCGGUGGAGCAUGUGGUUUAAUUCGAAGCAACGCGUAGAACCUUACCAAAUCUUGACAUCCUUUGACAACUCUAGAGAUAGAGCCUUCCCCUUCGGGGGACAAAGUGACAGGUGGUGCAUGGUUGUCGUCAGCUCGUGUCGUGAGAUGUUGGGUUAAGUCCCGCAACGAGCGCAACCCUUAAGCUUAGUUGCCAUCAUUAAGUUGGGCACUCUAAGUUGACUGCCGGUGACAAACCGGAGGAAGGUGGGGAUGACGUCAAAUCAUCAUGCCCCUUAUGAUUUGGGCUACACACGUGCUACAAUGGACAAUACAAAGGGCAGCGAAACCGCGAGGUCAAGCAAAUCCCAUAAAGUUGUUCUCAGUUCGGAUUGUAGUCUGCAACUCGACUACAUGAAGCUGGAAUCGCUAGUAAUCGUAGAUCAGCAUGCUACGGUGAAUACGUUCCCGGGUCU